Molecule: RNA transcript, 3099 nt
Organism: Myotis daubentonii (Daubenton's bat)
Lineage: Eukaryota; Metazoa; Chordata; Mammalia; Chiroptera; Vespertilionidae
Gene: MESD
Gene name: mesoderm development LRP chaperone
Exons: 4
Source: RefSeq, a predicted model, not a curated record
AUGCCGCUGGGGACCCCGCUACCGCCGCCGCUGCCGCGGCCCCUGCCGCCGCCCGCGCGGCCGUCGCGACUCAGCUGGCCGGGGCCGCGGUGCCGUCCCCGCACCAUCAUGCCAUCCACCGCCGCGGGCGGAGGGCGCGGGCCGGCGGCGGCGGCGGGGGCGCGGGGCGGGCCCACGGGCCGGGGGACGCAGGAGGCUCUUCCAGGCGCGGGAAGGGGCUGCGGCGUUGGGCCUCCGGCCUCCGGGAGGACGUGCAGGAACCAUGAACCGGGCGCCGCCAACUCACAGCGCGCGCUCCUCGGGGCCGGGCUGCCAGGAAAGUCCCUUCGCCGGGGCCGCCGCCGCCGCCGCCUUCCUGGGCAUGGCCCGGCCCAGCCGCCGGAGCGGGCGGGCGGGAGGGGAAGCUGGGAGUUGUCUUUCCUUCCUUCCUUCCUUUCUUUGAAAUCCAAAUCCCUUCCUCGGGGAGGAGCGCGGGCGCGCGGCGGGCCCCGGGCGGGCUCAGCUGUCAGCCUCCGCGGCUCGGCGGUGCACGUGGGCUCCGGGAGCCGCGACCCCGCGCGGCGGCACGUCCCCGCGACGGUGGCCCGGCCUGGCGCUGGGGGGACGCGCGGCCUCCGCGGCGCAUCUCCCGUCCCCCCGGGUCUCGGGAAGCGGCCCGGCGGCGGCGGGGGCCGAGGGUGUGGCCGGUGUGGCCGAGUCAGUCGGGCGGCAGCUGCACGGAUGAGCACGGAGGCCGCCCGCUCGCGUUCCGUCCGUCCGUCCGCCCGCCACGCCACGCCCGGCGGCCCUUCCCGCCUCGCGACUCACAGCGCGCGGCCCGGCGCCCGGGCGGCACGCCCUCCGGCCCCGCGCCCCGCAGCUGGCGACCGUGGGCGCGAGUCCAUGCCCGGCGCGUCCUCUCCGCGGGCCCUGCGCAUCGGACGGGGCGUCCUCGGCGCGCGCGUGUCCCCGGCGGCGGCGGUGGCCAAACUCACAAGGUCCCCGCGGUGCGGCGGCCACCCGCCCGGGCCCCGGCUUCUGCCAUUUUUUGCCAAACCUCCAACUUCCGAGCGAGCCGGGGAGACGGGAAGGAAGGGCGGGGGCCGCGAGGCGCGGGGGGACGCCGCCUCCUCCCCGCUCGGCACCUCGGAGCGCGCGGUCCUGGGCGCGCCGCCCGCCCGAUCGCCGGCCGCCGGAGGCUCCCCUGGUCCCGGCCCGCCUCGCCCCCGCCGCCGCCUCGGCCGCCGCCUCCCGGGAGCCUAUAGAAAGCUUUUGUGUGGCGUCACCGCCUUUCGUUUAAAUCCCGCUUCCUCCUCUCGCCUGCCCCCGCCCCCUCGCCGCUGCCGGAUGCUUGCGCGAUGCGCUGCUCCUCCCCCGGGAAGCGGGCGGCUGCGGGCGGACGCCACCGCCCAUCUCGGAGGGAGGCCGGCGCCGGGGCCGGGGCCGGCCGGGGGGUCCCGGGCAUUCCCCGCUGUCCCGCGGAGGGAGGCCGGGACGGAGGCCGCGGGGCCGGGGCUCUGCGCUGCGCGCGAUCGGGGGAGUCGGGGCGCCGCCGCCGCCGCCGGUUGGCCUUACGACCCGGUUUCUGCUCUGACUGCAGAGUCCUUGGCUCUGAGCUGGCCCGGUCAGCGUGCGCCACGGCUGGUGCACUUUGCCCUCCCGUGACCUCCGGGCCUCGACCGCAUUAUGGGGUGACGGAGGCCAAGCCCCUUUUCUCCUAGGAAAACUGCUGCUCGGUGCCUGGCAUAACUUCCCCUGGUCCCCCCCCACCCCCCCCCUCAGGCCCUGUGUUCUGGAUGCUUCUGCUGAAAGGUGUGGAGCGUCCGCAAGCCUGUGUGAUGUGGAGCAGACCUUUUGACCUGCGUUGGACGUGAAAUGUGAGUGAAAGGAAGAAAUUGUCAUAGUGUGUGCACAUAUAGAUGUAUGCGUGAAUAUGUACAAUAUCAGCCACCGCUACAGGGAGAGACAUGAAGCUGCAAUGUUCCAGGAGAGCAAAGGUGAGGCCGACAUUGCCCGCUGGUUGCCGUCACCAUCCACUUCCUCUCGCCCCUGGAUAACAGAACCCCAAUUUUAUUUGGGGUGCGGGUGCAUCCAGCACAAAGACGGCUCCCCAGCCCACCUCGAGGGCCAGGCCCCAGCCGCCGGGACGUAAACACAGUGGUGGUGGAAUGUCCGCGCAGGCCGCCUGACGCAAGCUGACUCCACGGGAAGGUAUGUUCCUUUCGGCCUCCCUCCCCCUCCCCCUGCAUGGCUGUCAGCUUGAGGGCUGGAGCGCCGGUGGCCACUGUGGACCUUGAGGUGACCUUGAGGACGGGAGCCACAGGCCAGUGCGACGGAGCAGGACAGAGGGACUGGGAGCCGCAAUAGCAGCCCGAGAGGCUUGGUACCAACUGCUUUUCUAUGAAAGAAAAACCCAGCAAUAACAGCAAAGCCCUCUCUCUCCUCUAAAGCACUUUUGAAACAAUUUAGUUUUCUGUUACGUACAACCUAUUCCGAGCAAGGCGGCUCCUUUGCUAGGGCUGCCGUAACGGAGCACCACAGCCCUGGCCGGCUUGGCUUAGAGCGAUUCUCAACCUUCCGAAUGCCGUGACCCUUUAAUGCAGCUCCUCAUGCUGUGGUGACCCCCAGCCAUGAAAUUAUUUUCGUUGCUACUUCAUCACUGUCAUGUUGCUCCUGUGAUGAAUCGUCAUGUAAAUACCUGAUAUGCAGGAUGGAUUUUCAUUGUUACAAAUUGAACAUAAUUAAAGCAUAGUGAUUAACCACAAAAACAAUAUGUAAUUAUAUAUGUGUUGUCCGAUGGUCUUAGGCGAUGUGACCCCCGUGAAAGGGUCGUUCGACACCCAAAGGGGUUGCGACCCCCAGGUUGAGAACCACUGGCUUAGUGGGUAGAGCGCCGGCCUGUGGACUGAAGGGUCCCAGGUUCGAUUCCCAUCAAGGGUACAUGCCUGGGGUUGCAGGCUCCAUCCCCAGUGUGGGGCGUGGAGGAGGCAGCCAAUCAAUGAUUCUCUCUCACCAUUGAUGUUUCUCUCUCUCCCUCUCCCUCCUUAACUGAAAUCAAUAAAAAUAUAUUGGAAAAAAAAUAAACAAUCCAAUAAAAAUUGGCAAAAGAAUCCAUGAAAA